ACCCAACCUACUCUGCGAAAAACAAUUCAAAUGAACAACACUAAAUAGGGAUCUCCUAUCCCGGAACACUCGAUCCCGCUGAGUGAGUCACAUAACAAACCGAACCAAUCAGGUGAUUCGAAGCAGUUGAGCGCUUCAAACGUCACUGAAGUGGUUCAAACGUCAAGAGUCACGUGACCAAACCACGCCUCGGCACAGUGGCUCGAUACGUUUGCUUCAUGAGCUACAGCGCAUGUGUCGAAGCCUCGGGUGUCAGAGGACCAUCACUACUGGUAGCGUCUCUGGCUGCUGUUGACCUUGUUUUUGGAGUAAAACACGGUGGAAGCUGAAUUAGUGAGGAUGACUCCUGCUCCUGUCAUCUCUAAGCUCCUCACACAUCUUUACCUGCACAUGAGGAAAAUCACUCCUGUAGAAUGCAGAUGUUCAGAGGGAGAUGAUGCCACAUCUGGUCCAGCUGAUGGAAGGUCUUGAAGUUCUCUGACUGGCCUGGACUGAAGAUGGUCGUCUCACUGGAUUUAAGGUUCAGAUGCUCAGUAACAAACUCCACCAAUGUGCCAACAGGGAAGCUUUAGGUUUAUUAAAUGUUGCUAUGAAGGUUUUGCUGUUUUUCUUUGUGAAUGCAAUGUGCUCCAACUGAAACUUGAAUUAGAUCUUAGAAGUAAACCCUUCCAUCUGAAAGGAUUUAGUUGCAUUAAUAACCUCAUAACAUUCUAAUUUUUAUUCCAGUCUUGGUUGGAAAUAGAAUCUCUGUAUUGAUUCAGGUAAAAACUGAACUUCACAGCAUGUUGGAGCAAAACAACCAGAUGAAAACUGUGAUGGUGUUGGAUUGUCAGACUGUAAUGUUGCAGCUCAAAGCAGCUUUUCUGUCUCAGUUCAUUCUGACAUUCAGCUAUGAAUCAACACAGCAGAUGGUGAUCCAUGCUGUGGAAGUCUCACAUCUCCUGAUUUAAUGGAGCUGCUUUGCACUUUUUACACUGUUUAUUCACCAACACUUUAUUUAAUAAAAGUCCCAUCUAGUUUUUAUGAGGAAUGUGAUGUUUUAAUUUCUCUGUGAAUAACUGCAGUCUAAUGCAACAGCUGGAGUUGUAACAUCUGUCCUGAUACUGAUCAUGAAGUAUUGAUCAGAAUACUUAUGGUCAGCAGUCAUCCCUGAAGUUUUACAUUAAAAUCUUUACUUGUGUUGUGAACUUUGGUAAGAAGCAGAAAUGUUAGUGUUGCCAUGGAUACAUGAGUGUUAAAUUCUGUCCAUGUUUCCAUUUUGGGAAAUUCAGUCCAGCAGAUGAGUUUGUUUUUAGUGCCGGCUACCAUUCAGUCUGAGAUAUUAAGAGUAAAUAAAUGUGCAUAAUGUGGAAAUGAACAGAUUUUAUUUUUAUUUUUUCCUACAGCUGCUGCAUGUAAAGUUCCAAAAUGUGGAGGAAUUUAGUCUCACAAUCACAGACAAUAUAUAUUAUCUGAAAAUCAAGUUAUUGUUGUUUAUCAGCACAAUACAGAAAGAUUCAUGUUAGAAAUAUUCCAGUUAAGACUCUAGAAUAUCAUGAUUUAUGUAAAUUUACCUCAAUAAUAUGAAUGUUCAGGUUAAGAUUGUACAGUGAUAUUUAUUAUGCAAGUUUAGCUGAUUAAAGUUUAUUACUCUGCACUAAAAUAUUAUUUAAAUUGACAUCAUUAUUAUAAUAUUUAGGGUCAGACUCUACAGUAUUGAGAUUAAGAAAUCAAAUAUUCUAUAAAAUGUAAAUACACUGAACUCAUUUGGAUAUAUUUUAGUGAGACUCUACAAUAUUAUUUGACACAAAUCUAUCUAAAUCAAAAUUUUAAUAAUUUUCACACCAAACAUUUACUGGACUGAUUUAAAUAUUAAAAUCACUCCUUUCUAAUCCUCUGCUGCACGUUCAAACCUGAGGCCUUAAAUAGAAACACACAAGUAUCUGAUUGAAGGAACUUCUGCAGAGUCCUGGUUCCAGAACAUGAUGAUAGAAUUAUAGACAAACUUUAACAAAAGCUGCCUGAGAGUUUACAGGUUUUUAUGUUAGAUUUCUUCAGUAAUUUAAUGAGAGUUAUCAGAAAAAAUCAAGUGUUCAUUUGAUGAACUUCAUUUCCUAAAACAUCCAGAAUUGGAGCUCAUAUCUUUGGCAGCUGUAAAGUUUCUGCUCCUUCAAAGCUCACAACACAAUGAAUGAAUUCCUAAAACACUCUCAAUGCUGGAGAGCGUUUGUGAUGCUGAAGCAGUGACCAGUUUUUCUGUUUCUUCUCUGGAGAUGCACAAUGAGGGACGUCUGCAGCGACUGAGAAAGAGUCUCACCACAUCCUGACGUGAGGAAAAAGACUUUAUUGAAGACUACAAUGAGAAAAACUAUCAGACAGCAGACGGCUGCAUUCAAGGCUACAGGAGGAGUCCUACGAGGACGAGCCGGUCCACCUGAUGGUGGCCAGUCGCUGCGGUUCAAAGCCAACUCCGACUACGUGGACUUCUACUGGACCACAUGGAGGCCUUCAAACCGGACCGACAAGUUGAGCGACUCCCCGACUCGUGGGUCUGAGGACGCCGUCGAGCCUCGGUCCAGCUGGCCGUCUGUCUGUGGGUGUUUGAGUGCUGAGAGGUUUGUGGAUCCAUGUGAACGUUCUGUGUUGAAACAGCAGCUUUGGACUCAGUAACGCCGGGAAAAACCAAGAGCUCCUUUAUUUGUGACUUCCACUAAAAAAACUGAUGAAAAUAAUUUUGCCAGGGUUCUGACUGAUAACAGAUUAUUAAAUAAUGAAAAUAAUCGUUUAAAUGUUCCUUUAAACAAUCCUUUUAGGUCUACACUUCCUUUACACUGAUUUCUUGGUAUAUGUACAAGUAUUUUGGGUGGAAUAUACCAUUAAGCCCAAUGUUCAAGGGUUCUUCUGGGAAUAUACCAUUUAACCAACCUUUUAGGUAAAUGUUCCAGGAUGUUGGGUAGAAUAUACCAUCAGAUAAACCUUUUAGGUCUACAUUGGAAGAUUUUAGAGUAGAAUACUACUCCAAACCAUCCUUUAGGUCUACAUUUAAGGUGGAAUACUCCUUUACACCAAGAUUUUUGGUCUACGUUGAAGGAUUUUAGGUGAAAUAUUCCUUUGAACGAACUUUUUAAGUUUAUGUUCAAGGAUGUUGGGUGGAAUAUACCAUCAGACCAACCUCCAAGGUCUACAGUAGUGAAUUUUAGGUGGAAUAUACCAUUAAACUCACCUUUUAGGUCUCCAUUGGAGGAUUUUAGGUGGAAUUUUCUUCCAAACAGUCUUUUAAUCUACAUUUAAGGAUGUUUAGUAUGGUAUAUUCUUCCAAACCAACUUCUCAGGUCUACAUUUCAGGUGGAAUAUUCCUCCAUACUAACUUUUUUGGUCUACAUUGAAGGAUUUUUUUCUAAACCACCCUUUCAGGUCUAUAUUUGAGGUUUUAGGUGGAAUAUUCCUUUUAACCAGCCCUUCAGGUCUCUGAGGAUUUUGGAUGGAAUACUCGGUUAAAGCAACAUUUUAGGUGCAUGUCCAAGGAUUUUUGGGGGAAUGUUCCUUUAAGGUGGAUGUUUGAGGACCUUGUAGGUGGAAUACUUCCUGAAACCAACCUUUUAGGUCAACAUUCAAAGAUUUAAGGUGGAAUAUUCCUUUAAACCAACCUAAAUUUCAUGUUUUGAUCAUUAUCAAGUGAGAAACCUCAAUCCAGACUCCUCAUAAUGACGUUUGAGAUUUAUGCUGCUGUUACUUGUUUAGUCCAGACUAAAUGACAGAAAUCCACAACUGUAAUUUUAUUUCAGGACUCAGUUAUUAAAUGUCAAAACAAUCUAUGUGACUCUAAAAAUUCAACAGCUUUACAAACUCUAACAUUAAACUCUCCACAAGGAUCCAAAAUAAGUUGGACUUCUACAUGAGAGCUUUAAUUAUUCUUCAUCUACCUCCUGAACAGUUUGGUCAAUAAAAAAGACAAAAACUAAUAUUUUCAGCUGAACUAAAGACAGACUGUGAUUUUUCUGCUCACAUGUUGUUGUUGUAAACUUAUUCUUUCAAAUAAAUAUCCUCCUAACCCCCUGGAAACCAGCGUUUGUCCUGU
Amphiprion ocellaris (clown anemonefish) is the source of this 4057-nucleotide long non-coding RNA. RefSeq lists it as uncharacterized. The transcript has 4 exons. The record is from RefSeq and is a predicted model, not a curated record. NCBI's taxonomy places the organism in Eukaryota, Metazoa, Chordata, Actinopteri, Pomacentridae.